RNAcentral lists this ribosomal RNA (254 nucleotides) under uncultured bacterium. Its description in RNAcentral is "partial 16S ribosomal RNA". It matches the Rfam family "Bacterial small subunit ribosomal RNA", at positions 524 to 776 of the family's 1533-position model. The record is from RNAcentral.
UACAGAGACUGCAAGCGUUAUUCGGAUUCACUGGGCGUAAAGGAUGCGCAGGCGGCCAAGUGUGUUAGGCGUGAAAGCCCGGGGCUUAACCCCGGAAUUGCACCUAAAAACUACAUGGCUAGAGCAUUGGAGAGGGUAGCAGAAUUCAUGGUGUAGCAGUGAAAUGCGUAGAUAUCAUGAGGAAUACCAGAGGCGAAGGCGGCUACCUGGACAAUUGCUGACGCUCAGGCACGAAAGCGUGGGGAGCAAAAGGG